AGUGGCCACGGCAACGGUGGCCUUCAAGCCACACCAAUCACCCUUGAAUAAAGGCAGUAGGAAGGCAUCCUGGGCCCGAGGCAGUCUGAACAGGUCAUAGGAGAAGGCGCCCUACCCGCCCGUUUCCGGACUUCAGCUGUACACGGUCAUCUAAGGCGUACGCAUUCCUUCUAAGACCAUGGUUCUUAUAGCCUGAGAACUGCAUCAUUCUGAACUGGGGGCUUUGGAGAGCAAUCCCUCUGUGCGAUCUCACCACCCUCGGGAGAGAAGAAACGGGACAGGACGGCAGGCCUGGGGAGGCCCAGUGACCUGUGGACGGUCCGGGGCCUGCAGUCCUCACGCACAUCUGACAUGCUCCCCGCUGCAUCCUGGGAGACGUGAGCUCCCCUAGACGUCUGCUUGCCGAAUGAGGCGGGAGACCUAGGCCUGUCAAGGAGACAUGGGUCAGCACGAGAGAGAAGCCGGGAACAAACACCAACCAGCAAGCGACAGAAGCUUCCAGUGAGGAGGAUCCCUGGCCUCCCGGAUCUGCAGGCCGGGGACAGAGGAGGGGCCUACGGAGGCAGGCUUUUCUGGGUGUCCGCUCAGGUGAGGCGACGUGAAACAGGCUUGGGGAAUCACAUCCUUCCUGCUUUUGUUUCUGAGUCUUGGAGAAUGAGCUGAGUUUAAUGUUGAAAAUAAUCUUCGACUUUCGAAAUCAAAGACGAUUCUUCCGCAAACAUUUGUCUGCAAACUCUGAGGAGGGUCCUGGUGCGAAGCCAGAGGCCGCGCUCUCUCUGCGCUUAUAGCCAGGUGACCUCGAGUGUGGCCCUGACCGUGACCACGCCCACCUGCAGACUCGGGCACAGCACCUGUGUUCUCAGAGGCUUCAUCUGGAGGCCCGUAUGAUAUAACACAUGUUAGUGUGCUUUGUGAGUCUAAAUUUGGACACAAAUGUGGGUUAUUACUAUUAUUGAUCAUUAGUCUUUUUUACAUUUGAUACAAUGUAAAUAAAAAACAAUUUUCUAAGAAAAAAGUACUUUUU
Molecule: long non-coding RNA, 1024 nt
Filed under: Felis catus (domestic cat)
Lineage: Eukaryota; Metazoa; Chordata; Mammalia; Carnivora; Felidae
Description: lncRNA (ENSFCAG00000049521.1)
Source: RNAcentral